GCUCCAGUAGCUCAACGGAUAGAGCAACAGCCUUCUAAGCUGUAGGUUCAUGGUUCGAAUCCAUGCUGGGGCG
This 73-nucleotide transfer RNA is filed under the name Patescibacteria group bacterium. RNAcentral describes it as "tRNA-Arg". It matches the Rfam family "tRNA". From Rfam's summary of the family: Transfer RNA (tRNA) molecules are approximately 80 nucleotides in length. The record is from RNAcentral.